This 342-nucleotide ribosomal RNA is filed under the name uncultured Denitrovibrio sp. RNAcentral describes it as "bacterial SSU rRNA". It matches the Rfam family "Bacterial small subunit ribosomal RNA", at positions 1041 to 1382 of the family's 1533-position model. The record is from RNAcentral. Lineage: Bacteria; Pseudomonadati; Deferribacterota; Deferribacteres; Deferribacterales; Geovibrionaceae.
CUGCAUGGCGUGUCGUCAGCUCGUGCCGUGAGGUGUGGUUAAGUCCCGCAACGAGCGCAACCCUACUUUUUAGUUGCCAUCAGGUUAAGCUGGGCACUCUAAAGAGACUGCCGUCGAUAAGGCGGAGGAAGGUGGGGACGACGUCAAGUCAUCAUGGCCCUUAUGUCUAGGGCUACACACGUGCUACAAUGGGUUAUACAGAGGGCAGCUAGCUCGCGAGAGUCUGCGAAUCCCUUAAAGUAAUCCUCAGUUCGGAUUGUAGUCUGCAACUCGACUACAUGAAGUUGGAAUCGCUAGUAAUCGCAGGUCAGCAAAACUGCGGUGAAUACGUUCCCGGGCCUU